This 722-nucleotide ribosomal RNA is filed under the name uncultured Bacilli bacterium. RNAcentral describes it as "bacterial SSU rRNA". It matches the Rfam family "Bacterial small subunit ribosomal RNA", at positions 48 to 733 of the family's 1533-position model. The record is from RNAcentral. Lineage: Bacteria; Bacillati; Bacillota; Bacilli.
CUAAUACAUGCAAGUCGAACGAAGUUCUGAUUAUUGAAAGGUGCUUGCAUCUUGAUUUAAUUUUGAACGAGUGGCGGACGGGUGAGUAACACGUGGGUAACCUGCCCUUAAGUGGGGGAUAACAUUUGGAAACAGAUGCUAAUACCGCAUAAAUCCAAGAACUGCAUGGUUCUUGGCUGAAAGAUGGCGUAAGCUAUCGCUUUUGGAUGGACCCGCGGCGUAUUAGCUAGUUGGUGAGGUAACGGCUCACCAAGGCAAUGAUACGUAGCCGAACUGAGAGGUUGAUCGGCCACAUUGGGACUGAGACACGGCCCAAACUCCUACGGGAGGCAGCAGUAGGGAAUCUUCCACAAUGGACGCAAGUCUGAUGGAGCAACGCCGCGUGAGUGAAGAAGGCUUUCGGGUCGUAAAACUCUGUUGUUGGAGAAGAAUGGUCGGCAGAGUAACUGUUGUCGGCGUGACGGUAUCCAACCAGAAAGCCACGGCUAACUACGUGCCAGCAGCCGCGGUAAUACGUAGGUGGCAAGCGUUAUCCGGAUUUAUUGGGCGUAAAGCGAGCGCAGGCGGUUUUUUAAGUCUGAUGUGAAAGCCCUCGGCUUAACCGAGGAAGUGCAUCGGAAACUGGGAAACUUGAGUGCAGAAGAGGACAGUGGAACUCCAUGUGUAGCGGUGAAAUGCGUAGAUAUAUGGAAGAACACCAGUGGCGAAGGCGGCUGUCUGGU